Non-coding RNA from Podarcis lilfordi (Lilford's wall lizard), 83 nucleotides. The record is from the annotation of a GenBank genome assembly. Lineage: Eukaryota; Metazoa; Chordata; Lepidosauria; Squamata; Lacertidae.
GCUGGGGAAGGGCCGUGGCUCAGUGGUAGAGCAUCUGCCUUGCAGGCAGAAGGUUCUUGGUUCAAUCCCUGGAAACUCCAGUU